Long non-coding RNA from Melanotaenia boesemani (Boeseman's rainbowfish), 192 nucleotides. RefSeq lists it as uncharacterized. The record is from RefSeq and is a predicted model, not a curated record. NCBI's taxonomy places the organism in Eukaryota, Metazoa, Chordata, Actinopteri, Atheriniformes, Melanotaeniidae. The transcript has 3 exons.
UUGAAAAACUGGUCAAAAAGCAGGAAAGACUGUCAGGAAAGAGGAGCUGAUCUGGUGAUCAUAAACAGCAAAGAGGAACAGGAAUUUGUCAGUAAACUGAGUUCAUGGUUCUGGAUCGGUCUUGAAUGGAAAGAACAUGGAUGGAAAUGGGUGGACGGAUCUCCACUGACAGAAACGUUCUGGGAAGAUGGA